Molecule: ribosomal RNA, 440 nt
Filed under: uncultured bacterium
Lineage: Bacteria
Description: partial 16S ribosomal RNA
Rfam family: Bacterial small subunit ribosomal RNA
Source: RNAcentral
CCUACGGGAGGCAGCAGUGGGGAAUAUUGCACAAUGGGGGAAACCCUGAUGCAGCGACGCCGCGUGAGUGAAGAAGUCUUUCGGUACGUAAAGCUCUAUCAGCAGGGAAGAAAAUGACGGUACCUGACUAAGAAUCCCCGGCUAACUACGUGCCAGCAGCCGCGGUAAUACGUAGGGGGCAAGCGUUAUCCGGAUUUACUGGGUGUAAAGGGAGCGUAGACGGCAGCGCAAGUCUGGAGUGAAAGCCCAUGGCUUAACCAUGGAACUACAUUGGAAACUGUGAAGCUAGAGUGCAGGAGAGGUAAGCGGAAUUCCUAGUGUAGCGGUGAAAUGCGUAGAUAUUAGGAGGAACACCAGUGGCGAAGGCGGCUUACUGGACUGUAACUGACGUUGAGGCUCGAAAGCGUGGGGAGCAAACAGGAUUAGAUACCCCUGUAGUC